This 978-nucleotide ribosomal RNA is filed under the name Bacillus velezensis. RNAcentral describes it as "bacterial SSU rRNA". It matches the Rfam family "Bacterial small subunit ribosomal RNA", at positions 56 to 1017 of the family's 1533-position model. The record is from RNAcentral. Lineage: Bacteria; Bacillati; Bacillota; Bacilli; Caryophanales; Bacillaceae.
UGCAGUCGAGCGGACAGAUGGGAGCUUGCUCCCUGAUGUUAGCGGCGGACGGGUGAGUAACACGUGGGUAACCUGCCUGUAAGACUGGGAUAACUCCGGGAAACCGGGGCUAAUACCGGAUGGUUGUCUGAACCGCAUGGUUCAGACAUAAAAGGUGGCUUCGGCUACCACUUACAGAUGGACCCGCGGCGCAUUAGCUAGUUGGUGAGGUAACGGCUCACCAAGGCGACGAUGCGUAGCCGACCUGAGAGGGUGAUCGGCCACACUGGGACUGAGACACGGCCCAGACUCCUACGGGAGGCAGCAGUAGGGAAUCUUCCGCAAUGGACGAAAGUCUGACGGAGCAACGCCGCGUGAGUGAUGAAGGUUUUCGGAUCGUAAAGCUCUGUUGUUAGGGAAGAACAAGUGCCGUUCAAAUAGGGCGGCACCUUGACGGUACCUAACCAGAAAGCCACGGCUAACUACGUGCCAGCAGCCGCGGUAAUACGUAGGUGGCAAGCGUUGUCCGGAAUUAUUGGGCGUAAAGGGCUCGCAGGCGGUUUCUUAAGUCUGAUGUGAAAGCCCCCGGCUCAACCGGGGAGGGUCAUUGGAAACUGGGGAACUUGAGUGCAGAAGAGGAGAGUGGAAUUCCACGUGUAGCGGUGAAAUGCGUAGAGAUGUGGAGGAACACCAGUGGCGAAGGCGACUCUCUGGUCUGUAACUGACGCUGAGGAGCGAAAGCGUGGGGAGCGAACAGGAUUAGAUACCCUGGUAGUCCACGCCGUAAACGAUGAGUGCUAAGUGUUAGGGGGUUUCCGCCCCUUAGUGCUGCAGCUAACGCAUUAAGCACUCCGCCUGGGGAGUACGGUCGCAAGACUGAAACUCAAAGGAAUUGACGGGGGCCCGCACAAGCGGUGGAGCAUGUGGUUUAAUUCGAAGCAACGCGAAGAACCUUACCAGUCUUGACUUCCUCUGACAAUCCUAGAGAUAGGACGUCCC